This 68-nucleotide transfer RNA is filed under the name Anoxypristis cuspidata (knifetooth sawfish). RNAcentral describes it as "tRNA-Cys". It matches the Rfam family "tRNA". From Rfam's summary of the family: Transfer RNA (tRNA) molecules are approximately 80 nucleotides in length. Lineage: Eukaryota; Metazoa; Chordata; Chondrichthyes; Rhinopristiformes; Pristidae. The record is from RNAcentral.
AGCUCUGUAGUAAAGGCAUUACACGAGAUUGCAAAUCUUGAGACGGAGAUUAGGCUCUCCCGGGGCUU